AACGAACGCUGGCGGCAGGCUUAACACAUGCAAGUCGAACGGUUGUAGCAAUACAGCAGUGGCAGACGGGUGAGUAACACGUGGGAACCUUCCUAGGGGUACGGAACAACUCAGGGAAACUUGAGCUAAUACCGUAUACGUCCGUAAGGAGAAAGAUUUAUCGCCCCUAGACGGGCCCGCGUCGGAUUAGCUAGUUGGUGGGGUAACGGCCCACCAAGGCGACGAUCCGUAGCUGAUCUUAGAGGAUGAUCAGCCACACUGGGACUGAGACACGGCCCAGACUCCUACGGGAGGCAGCAGUGGGGAAUCUUGGACAAUGGGCGCAAGCCUGAUCCAGCCAUGCCGCGUGAGUGAAGAAGGUCUUCGGAUUGUAAAGCUCUUUUACCAGGGACGAUAAUGACGGUACCUGGAGAAUAAGCCCCGGCAAACUUCGUGCCAGCAGCCGCGGUAAUACGAAGGGGGCUAGCGUUGUUCGGAAUUACUGGGCGUAAAGCGCACGUAGGCGGGUCGUUUAGUCAGGGGUGAAAUCCCGGAGCUCAACUCCGGAACUGCCUUUGAUACUGGCGAUCUAGAGAUCGGAAGAGGUUAGUGGAAUUCCCAGUGUAGAGGUGAAAUUCGUAGAUAUUGGGAAGAACACCAGUGGCGAAGGCGGCUAACUGGUCCGAUACUGACGCUGAGGAGCGAAAGCGUGGGUAGCGAACAGGAUUAGAUACCCUGGUAGUCCACGCCGUAAACGGUGGGCGCUAGGUGUGGGUUUCCUUCCACGGGAUCCGUGCCGUAGCUAACGCAUUAAGCGCCCCGCCUGGGGAGUACGGCCGCAAGGCUAAAACUCAAAGGAAUUGACGGGGGCCCCCACAAGCGGAGGAGCAUGUGGAUUAAUUCGAUGCAACGCGAAAGAACCUUACCNGGGUUUGACAUCCACCGGAAAGCCGCAGAGAUGUACCCCCCCUUGUGGUCGGUGUACAGCUGGUGCAUGGCGGUCGUCAGCUCGUGUCGUGAGAUGAUGGGUUAAGUCCUGCAACGAGCGCAACCCCCGUCGCAUGUUGCCAGCAUCUAGUUGGGGACUCAUGCGAGACUGCCGGUGACAAUCCGGAGGAAGGUGGGGAGGACGUCAAGUCAUCAUGCCCCUCAUGUCCAGGGGUACACACCUGGUACAUUGGCCGGUACAGAGGGGUGCGAUACCGCGAGGUGGAGAGAAUCCCAAAAAACCGGUCUCGGUUCGGAUUGGAGGGUGAAACUCUCCUCCAUGAAGGGGGAGUUGCUAGUAAUCCCGGAUCAGCAACGCCGGGGUGAAUACGUUUCCGGGCCUUGUACACCCCGCCCGUCACCCCCCGAAAGCGGGCAACACCCGAAGCCGGUGACCCAACCCUUACGGGAGGGAGCCGUCGAAGGUGGGGCUCGUGAUUGGGGUG
RNAcentral lists this ribosomal RNA (1412 nucleotides) under uncultured bacterium. RNAcentral's name for it is "partial 16S ribosomal RNA". It matches the Rfam family "Bacterial small subunit ribosomal RNA". The record is from RNAcentral.